Molecule: long non-coding RNA, 1494 nt
Filed under: Triticum aestivum (bread wheat)
Lineage: Eukaryota; Viridiplantae; Streptophyta; Magnoliopsida; Poales; Poaceae
Description: long non-coding RNA (TAES_LNC023532)
Rfam family: MIR1120/MIR1122 microRNA precursor family (bases 958-1044)
Source: RNAcentral
UGGAACACCUUGUCUAAACUAUGAUAUAUGAAGCACAUUCAUCUACUCCGCAAAUAGAGUCUUCAACAACAGUGAAUCGUCGCCAUGCUUGCAUAGAUACACCAAAAACACUUAAUCCGCUAUUACAUGGGUGUCAUCUAAUUACUUGAUCCAUUCAUCUUGCCUCUAGAGAGUGAAAACUGAAGAAAGUGACAAGAAUGAAUUGCAGAGCACCGGCAGUACCACGCCCUCUCCUGACCUCGGUUGUUGAUGGUUAGAUCCAUCAUAAUCGACAUGCCUGAGUCCAAAACAAUAAUAAAAUAUUAAUUGGACAAUUGGUAAAGCCUAAACAGAACAUCCAAAAAAUGGAACCUUAACCAGUAAAUAGACUGCAUUUCAAUUAGUGGAGGGUUUUAACAGGCCAAACAAAGUCGCAUGAAAAAUUGAAUUUCAUCUGAUCCAAGCAAAUAGAAGAAUAUAUUCCACACAAUUCAAAUGCACGAAUGCUUUAUGUAAUAUUCCGUCAGGUUACUUUCUCCUCCACUUAUCUUACUUGAGUCUUUCCUUAGUUUAGACCUUCAAUUAUGAGCAUCAUCUAGUUGGUGUGGUCAAAGCAUAUUGAUACAUCUCCCGAAUUCAGGAGUUGUGCCAGAAGCCAUUGUGAUGUCUACUUGCUCAUAGUCAAUUAUAUGUUACAACCAAGUUGCCUGUUGCUCACCUGAACAUCAUGAAUUAGAAGACUGUUGUCAAGGACCGUGAAUCUGAUUUUCAAAAGCACCACAAAUAACUCUGUAAUGUGGGUUAGAAACCAUACUACAUGAACCCAGCAGCAAACUGGAUCAACCUCAUUGUUAGUGGAGGAUGUAUAAUGGAGAAGCAGAUUCUGGUCAAGGAGGACAGCAACAUAGACCCUGUUAGAAGCCAGUUUUGCCAUGUUUGUUUUCUUGAACCUUGAAAAUGAACGAAAACAAAAUGCUAAUACUCCCUCCGUAAACUAAUAUAAGAGUGUUUAGAAUACUAAAAUAGUGAUCUAAACGCUCUUAUAUUAGUUUACAGAGGGAGUACAACUUUAUUUAAGGCUGCAAAAAAAUACAGGUUAUAAGUUUAAACAUUUGUUGCUACUGCAUUUUGCAGAGGGCUUUGUUUGACUAUUUAUCAAAGCAACUGUUGUUGGCUGCAAGUUUACUAUCAGGCUUUGUUUGACUACAACAUCGAAACUUUGUCCUCCGAACCUGCAUCAGACCAUAGUACAUGUUUGGCAUAUUUCUGUUGUUGGAAUAAUUCUUAGAUGAAUAACAACGUGCACUUCAAUUAUUUCCUUUCUCAUAAACCGAACCUUAGAGCCGAAGAAGACAUACUCGUACAGUCGCCUAACCUGCAGGUCUGGUAAACGGCGAUUAAGUGCAGACUCAAGAACCGCCGGCUGUGUGUGAUCUCCUCGAUCCCCCGACUUCUUCCCGCUGCCAAGCUCCACCAAUAUUAGAGGAAGAAUCGGAUCUCAUCAUGUCCUGCCCG